This 31-nucleotide non-coding RNA is filed under the name Rattus norvegicus (Norway rat). Lineage: Eukaryota; Metazoa; Chordata; Mammalia; Rodentia; Muridae. The record is from RNAcentral.
UUCUCAUGGAGGACAACUUGCUGCUUGAUGA